This is a long non-coding RNA of Syngnathus acus (greater pipefish), 248 nucleotides long. RefSeq lists it as uncharacterized. The record is from RefSeq and is a predicted model, not a curated record. NCBI's taxonomy places the organism in Eukaryota, Metazoa, Chordata, Actinopteri, Syngnathiformes, Syngnathidae. The transcript has 3 exons.
GGGCGUGGACACCUGCUUCUGGCUGGGACUCUCCAACCAGAAAUGCGACAAGGUCUGGUGUGGCUUUGAAGGCGGGAGCCAGAAGCUGGCCUGGUCCGAUGGCCAGACAAUAAAGCACACCAACUGGGCCCCAAAUCAACUCGAAAGCGCCGACGUCGCGUCCUGCGCCUACGUCGCCCAAAAGCUUUGGAAGAAUUCCGGGAAGUGGAGGUCUGGCUCCUGCGCUUCCUCCUUAGCCUACAUGUGCA